This 69-nucleotide small RNA is filed under the name Mesobacillus foraminis. RNAcentral's name for it is "Bacillus foraminis Listeria sRNA sbrA". It matches the Rfam family "Listeria sRNA sbrA". The record is from Rfam by way of RNAcentral. Lineage: Bacteria; Bacillati; Bacillota; Bacilli; Caryophanales; Bacillaceae.
AUACAGCUAGAUCCAUACCCCUAAACUCCCUAGAUGAAGGACAGUGCCUAUAUGCACUGUCCUCCUUUU